This 734-nucleotide ribosomal RNA is filed under the name Cyanoboletus sp. OAV-2020a. RNAcentral describes it as "partial large subunit ribosomal RNA". It matches the Rfam family "Eukaryotic large subunit ribosomal RNA", at positions 132 to 867 of the family's 3401-position model. Lineage: Eukaryota; Fungi; Basidiomycota; Agaricomycetes; Boletales; Boletaceae. The record is from RNAcentral.
GGCCGUCCGAGUUGUAAUCUAGAGAAGCGUUUUCCGCGCUGGACCGUGUACAAGUCUCCUGGAAGGGAGCGUCAUAGAGGGUGAGAAUCCCGUCUUUGACACGGACGACCAAGUGCUAUGUGAUGCGCUCUCGACGAGUCGAGUUGUUUGGGAAUGCAGCUCAAAACGGGUGGUAAAUUCCAUCUAAAGCUAAAUACAGGCGAGAGACCGAUAGCGAACAAGUACCGUGAGGGAAAGAUGAAAAGAACUUUGGAAAGAGAGUUAAACAGUACGUGAAAUUGCUGAAAGGGAAACGCUUGAUGUCAGUCGCGUCGGCCGGGGAUCAACCUUGCUUCUCGCUGGGUGUACUUCCCGGUCGACGGGUCAGCAUCGGUUUCGGUCGCCGUACAAUGGCGAGGGGAAUGUGGCACCCUUUGGGGUGUGUUAUAGCCUUUCGUCGUAUGCGGUGGUCGGGACCGAGGAACUCGGCACGGCUUCGGUCUGUGCUUAGGAUGCUGGCAUAAUGGCCUUAAGCGACCCGUCUUGAAACACGGACCAAGGAGUCUAACAUGCCUGCGAGUGUUUGGGUGGCAAACCCAAGCGCGAAAUGAAAGUGAAAGUCGAGACCUCUGUCGUGGAGGGCAUCGACGCCCGGACCUGAGUCUUUGACGACGGAUCUGCGGUAGAGCAUGUAUGUUGGGACCCGAAAGAUGGUGAACUAUGCCUGAAUAGGGUGAAGCCAGAGGAAACUCUGG